This is a long non-coding RNA of Scophthalmus maximus (turbot), 558 nucleotides long. RefSeq lists it as uncharacterized. Lineage: Eukaryota; Metazoa; Chordata; Actinopteri; Pleuronectiformes; Scophthalmidae. The record is from RefSeq and is a predicted model, not a curated record. The transcript has 3 exons.
AGGAAAUGCACUCGCCGUCCACCCAUCCCCAUCAUCCCGGUCCCGAAACAGCUGGCGGCGUCUGCCACGUCGGACCAGAGUCCAGCCAUCAUCAAAAUGUCCCAUGUCAGUGGGUAAGGCCUUAUCAUGGUAGACAGGAUCCUUGUCAUUUUCAAGAUCAUCUUGGGUGGCUGUCUCCCUGCUUUAGGAGCCACAUUUUGCAGACUCUCCAACCCGCGGAGGAACGACCGAACGGGUGGGUCUUCGGAAGUGUUGGCGCACCACUUCCGCAAAGGAUCUGGAUUGGGGACCGAAAUGACGGGGGUCUUGGGUGGAGGCCCUGGCCGGUUAGGUAAAGGGAACUGAACCUGUCUCCCGAAGGAAACAGGAAAUGCACUUGCCGCCCACCCAUCCCCAUCAUCCCGGUUCCUGGAACGGCUGGCGGUCCCGACGGCAGCGUCCGCCACGUCGGACCAGAGUCCAGCCGUCAUCAAAAUGUCCCAUGUCAGUGGGUAAGGUAAGUAUGUUUGAAAUAAAAUAAAAUUGUGUUCUAUGAAAAAAUCGUUUUCUUAAGAAAUA